GGCAUGAAACUGCUCAGAGGUCUAUAACUUAAGUUUCACUCAUUCAUUCAACGUGCCUCUGUUUAAAGUCUGCCAGUGGCUACCUUCCUUGCACCUCACUGGGCCCUCUGCAGCCCUGCAGGCUCUGGCCCUCCUGUUAUGGCUGUGACUUCAGUGUGCCCAUUACUUGUUCCCUUGCUCACGGCCUCCUCACAAUUCCACUUACUCACCAAGUUCUCUCCUGCCUCAGGACCUUUGCACUUGAUGUUCUCUCUGCCAAGGAUGCUCUUCCCAGCAGGACAGGCUCCUGUAGUCCCAGCUACUCAGAAGGCUGAGGUGGCAGGACUGUUUGAGGCCAGGAAUUCAAGUUCGGUCUGGGCAAAACAGCAAGACCCCGCCUCUAAAAGAAAAAAAAAUGCUCUUCCCAGACUUUACCCAUGGCGGUUCCUCCUGUUAUUUAGAUCUUUGCACAGACAGGCCUCCUUCUCUCACCACCAGUCAAGGAGCCCUAGCCGUCACUUCACCUGCUAAUUUUCUUCCUAGCACUUACUGCUCUAAAAUUAUCUUCGUCAUGUAUCUAAGCAUUUGUUUGCUGUCUGUCUCUUCCCACCAGGAUGCCAGCUCCAUGACAGCAGGGACCGCAUUGUCUCUGCUCAUUCCUCAAGACUCAGCAAGGUGCCAGGUGCCCAGUAAAUGAAGUUUACAUGAAACCAAUAGAGUUUUGAAAUCGAAAAUGUUUCUCAAACUGUAAAGAAGUGGGCACAGGUGAGGGCUAAAGGAGUGAGGGUGGGGGCCUGGCCUGACGCUGGAAGCUCCAGAACGCAGGGCGCUAGAGUCCUCCCGGGCCUCACCGGGAUCCCACCGCAGAGGGCCCCUCCCGCAGGCCGGCGGGAGGGCGGGCGGGGAGCGCGCAGUGGGGCGCGCGGACCGCCAGGGGUGCUGUCGGGGCGCGCACGGCCCACCUGGCGCCCGGGGCCGCGAGCGAGCGCAGCCAGGCCGCCCGGGAACUUUUUUCCUCGCGCUCUCGCUCUCCUUCUCCCCCGCGCGUCGCCCGGCCGCCCGUCCGCCCGCCCGUCCGCUCUUCCUGUGCGGAGGGAUCGCAUUUCCCCGCGGCACCCGCGGACACCAGGCAGGCCCGGCCGGGUGCGCGGCCAGGGCCCGGUCCCCGCGCCGCCCGCUCCCCGCGCCCCGGGCGCCGCCCUCGCCCGCGGCUGGGCUCCGAGAGACUAGUGGGAGAGCGAGUGCGGCGAAGGCGAGAGGCGAGCCGAGCAGGCCGCCCAGCCCGCGGCCCGAGCGCCGGCGCGAGGAGGGGCGCCGCGGCCCACCCUCCUUCCUGCCUGGCCGCGGGCCGGCGGGCCGCCGCGCCCGACCCCAUGGCCACCCAGGCCUCCGGGCCGCGAAGUCGCAGCGCCAGACCCAGGGCCCCGAGUGAGCGCGGGCACCGAGGAUCUCAUCUGGUCACCGCGUUCUGGAAGAGGCGAGAGGGAGAGCGUGAGCGAGAGGAGGAGAGAGACGGCGGGGGAAAGGGAGACGGCGAGACGCGCAGCGCCGGCGCCCGGGAGACCCAGGAGGAGCCCGCAGGAGGCAGGUGCUGCCGUCUUGCGUUCCUGGGAGUCAGAGGAGGGGACGUUUUAUGUCUACAGUGGCUUGGCAGCCCCUAAUCGACGUCUGCUAGAAGGAACAGACAGAUUCCAGAUGGCGUGGCAGUGAUAGAGGAGGUGUGUGUGUGUGCAUGCGUGUGCGUGUGUGUGAGCAUACAUAUGCCUGUGUGCACGCGUGUGUGUGUGCUCAAGCGGCCUCCCUGGGACAGGAGCAGACCCUCCUCAGUCCCCAGCACGGCUGGGUCAUGCUUGAACACGGCCACGAAGGGACUAGAUUACAGGAUCCAGCAGGCCCCAGGGGACGAGGGAGCGGGAAUUGCUCUGCUAAAUGCUUUUGAGCUGUCAGGAAGGG
RNAcentral lists this long non-coding RNA (1932 nucleotides) under Macaca fascicularis (crab-eating macaque). RNAcentral describes it as "lncRNA (ENSMFAG00000048589.1)". The record is from RNAcentral. Lineage: Eukaryota; Metazoa; Chordata; Mammalia; Primates; Cercopithecidae.